This 207-nucleotide ribosomal RNA is filed under the name uncultured bacterium. Its description in RNAcentral is "partial 16S ribosomal RNA". It matches the Rfam family "Bacterial small subunit ribosomal RNA", at positions 568 to 774 of the family's 1533-position model. The record is from RNAcentral.
CUCGUAGGCGGUUUGUCGCGUCGGGAGUGAAAACACCGGGCUUAACUCGGUGCUUGCUUCCGAUACGGGCAGACUAGAGGUAUGCAGGGGAGAAUGGAAUUCCUGGUGUAGCGGUGAAAUGCGCAGAUAUCAGGAGGAACACCGGUGGCGAAGGCGGUUCUCUGGGCAUUACCUGACGCUGAGGAGCGAAAGUGUGGGGAGCGAACA